RNAcentral lists this transfer RNA (71 nucleotides) under Camelus bactrianus (Bactrian camel). It matches the Rfam family "tRNA". Rfam says of the family: Transfer RNA (tRNA) molecules are approximately 80 nucleotides in length. Their secondary structure includes four short double-helical elements and three loops (D, anti-codon, and T loops). Further hydrogen bonds mediate the characteristic L-shaped molecular structure. tRNAs have two regions of fundamental functional importance: the anti-codon, which is responsible for specific mRNA codon recognition, and the 3' end, to which the tRNAs corresponding amino acid is attached (by aminoacyl-tRNA synthetases). tRNAs cope with the degeneracy of the genetic code in two manners: having more than one tRNA (with a specific anti-codon) for a particular amino acid; and 'wobble' base-pairing, i.e. permitting non-standard base-pairing at the 3rd anti-codon position. The record is from Rfam by way of RNAcentral. RNAcentral also lists the same sequence under 2 other names. Lineage: Eukaryota; Metazoa; Chordata; Mammalia; Artiodactyla; Camelidae.
GGUGAUAGCUCAGUGGUGCUUAGUGUGCGUGCUUAGCAUGCACGAGGUCCUGGGUUCAAUCCCCAGCACCU